This 346-nucleotide ribosomal RNA is filed under the name uncultured bacterium. RNAcentral describes it as "partial 16S ribosomal RNA". It matches the Rfam family "Bacterial small subunit ribosomal RNA", at positions 338 to 681 of the family's 1533-position model. The record is from RNAcentral.
CCUACGGGAGGCAGCAGUGAGGAAUAUUGGUCAAUGGACGCAAGUCUGAACCAGCCAUGCCGCGUGCAGGAAGACGGCUCUAUGAGUUGUAAACUGCUUUUGUACGAGGGUAAACGCAGAUACGCGUAUCUGUCUGAAAGUAGCGUACGAAUAAGGAUCGGCUAACUCCGUGCCAGCAGCCGCGGUAAUACGGAGGAUUCAAGCGUUAUCCGGAUUUAUUGGGUUUAAAGGGUGCGUAGGCGGUCGGAUAAGUUAGAGGUGAAAUCCCGAGGCUCAACUUCGGAAUUGCCUCGGAUACUGUUCGGCUAGAGCGUAGUUGCGUUAGGCGUACUGUCUGUUGUAGCGG